Lutra lutra (Eurasian river otter) is the source of this 709-nucleotide long non-coding RNA. RefSeq lists it as uncharacterized. The transcript is spliced from 3 exons. Lineage: Eukaryota; Metazoa; Chordata; Mammalia; Carnivora; Mustelidae. The record is from RefSeq and is a predicted model, not a curated record.
AUGCCAUUUAUGUUUGCAUCUCUAUCUCCCGUCACCGUCUCCUUUCAUCUCCUCUUCCCCCGUUCGUUGCCCUUCAUUUUUACCCCCUCAUAUCGCAGUUGGUUUUUCUCUGAAUACUUCAAACGCCUCCAACUUGAAUGCAGCCAUCCUAGAGCCCACCCAGCACGAUAGAGGCAUCUUGAGGCAAGGGGCUUCUCUCUUAGAACCAUCGAAUGUCUGAGCGAGAAGGGAACUGGAAAAGGCGUCAUUAGCUCCAAACAUCUAUUUUUCAAAUGAGGGGACUGAGGCCAAAUAGAAGUGUGUUGGCUAAGAUACAGAAAUUGCUCACACAAUGAUAAGCCAAAGAAGAUCCACCUGUACUUGGUAUGUUGGAAGAAGCUUCGUUGGAGUCUUACAGACCAGUGUGGUGAUGUGGAUACCAAUUACUAGUCCGUCAGUUUACCAGCUAGAUGGUCAGCUGCGGUCCGGACGCUGACCCUAACCUCUCUCUCAUGUUCAAUUUCAGAAUCUUCAGACUUGUAAUAAUAUGUACAUCACCAAGGUUGAAGGUUGAUGGUAGUAUAAAUGAGUUCUGGAGAUCAGAAGUCCAGAAUGGAUCUCACUGGGCCAAAAUCAGGAUGUUGGCAGGUCUGCAUUCCUUCUGGAAGCUCUAGAGGCAAGUACAGUUGUUUGCCUUUUCCAUCUUCUAGAGGCUGCCCACAUUCUUUGU